This 484-nucleotide ribosomal RNA is filed under the name uncultured bacterium. Its description in RNAcentral is "partial 16S ribosomal RNA". It matches the Rfam family "Bacterial small subunit ribosomal RNA", at positions 29 to 507 of the family's 1533-position model. The record is from RNAcentral.
AGUGAACGCUGGCGGCAGGCCUAACACAUGCAAGUCGAGCGGAUGAAGGGAGCGUGCUCCUGGAUUCAGCUGCCGACGGGUGAGUAAGGCCUAGGAAUCUCCCUGUCAGUUUGGGAUAACGUCCGGAAACGGGCGCUAAUACCGCAUACCUCCUGAGGAAGUAAGUGUGGGAUCUUCGGACCUCACGCUAUCAGGUGAGCCUAGGUCGGAUUAGCUAGUUGGUGGGGUAAAGGCCUACCAAGGCGACGAUCCGUAACUGGUCUGAGAGGAUGAUCAGUCACACUGGAACUGAGACACGGUCCAGACUCCUACGGGAGGCAGCAGUGGGGAAUAUUGGACAAUGGGCGCAAGCCUGAUCCAGCCAUGCCGCGUGUGUGAAGAAGGUCUUCGGAUUGUAAAGCACUUUAAGUUGGGAGGAAGGGCAGUAAGUUAAUACCUUGCUGUUUUGACGUUACCAAAAGAAUAAGCACCGGCUAACUUCGUG